GAUGAACGCUGGCGGCGUGCCUAAUACAUGCAAGUCGAGCGAACGGACGAGAAGCUUGCUUUUCUGAUGUUAGCGGCGGACGGGUGAGUAACACGUGGAUAACCUACCUAUAAGACUGGGAUAACUUCGGGAAACCGGAGGUAAUACCGGACAAUUUUUUGAACCGCAUGGUUCAAAAGUGAAAGACGGGCUUGCUGCCCCUUAUAGAUGGAUCCGCGCUGCAUUAGCUAGUUGGUAAGGUAACGGCUUACCAGGGCAACGAAGCAUAGCCGACCUGAGAGGGUGAUCGGCCACACUGGAACUGAGGCACGGUCCAGACUCCUACGGGAGGCCGCAGUAGGGAAUCUUCCGCGAUGGGCGAAAGCCUGACGGAGCAACGCCGCGUGAGUGAUGAAGGUCUUCGGAUCGUAAAACUCUGUUAUUAGGGAAGAACAUAUGUGUAAGUAACUGUGCACAUCUUGACGGUACCUAAUCAGAAAGCCACGGCUAACUACGUG
Molecule: ribosomal RNA, 497 nt
Filed under: uncultured bacterium
Lineage: Bacteria
Description: partial 16S ribosomal RNA
Rfam family: Bacterial small subunit ribosomal RNA
Source: RNAcentral